GUCUACGGCCAUGCCACUCUGAACAUGCCCAAUCUCGUCUGAUCUUGGAAGCUAAGCAGGGUCGAGCCUGGUUAGUACUUGGGUGGGAGACCACCGAGGAAGACCAGGUGCUGUAGGCA
RNAcentral lists this ribosomal RNA (119 nucleotides) under Pteropus alecto (black flying fox). Lineage: Eukaryota; Metazoa; Chordata; Mammalia; Chiroptera; Pteropodidae. The record is from RNAcentral.